RNAcentral lists this ribosomal RNA (407 nucleotides) under uncultured bacterium. RNAcentral's name for it is "bacterial SSU rRNA". It matches the Rfam family "Bacterial small subunit ribosomal RNA", at positions 355 to 776 of the family's 1533-position model. The record is from RNAcentral.
UGGGGAAUCUUCCGCAAUGGGCGAAAGCCUGACGGAGCAACGCCGCGUGAGUGAAGAAGGCCUUCGGGUUGUAAAGCUCUGUCUUUGGGGACGAAAAAAAUGACGGUACCCAAGGAGGAAGCCACGGCUAACUACGUGCCAGCAGCCGCGGUAAUACGUAGGUGGCAAGCGUUGUCCGGAAUUAUUGGGCGUAAAGGGCGCGUAGGCGGGGCCCUAAGUCAGUUGUGAAAACUCCAGGCUUAACUUGGAGAUUGCAUCUGAUACUGGGGUUCUUGAGUGCAGGAGAGGACAGUGGAAUUCCUAGUGUAGCGGUGAAAUGCGUAGAUAUUAGGAGGAACACCAGUGGCGAAGGCGGCUGUCUGGACUGUAACUGACGCUGAGGCGCGAAAGCGUGGGGAGCAAACAGG